Molecule: ribosomal RNA, 253 nt
Filed under: uncultured bacterium
Lineage: Bacteria
Description: partial 16S ribosomal RNA
Rfam family: Bacterial small subunit ribosomal RNA
Source: RNAcentral
UACGGGGGGGGUAAGCGUUGUUCGGAAUUACUGGGCGUAAAGGGCUCGUAGGCGGCCAACUAAGUCAGACGUGAAAUCCCUCAGCUUAACUGGGGAACUGCGUCCGAUACUGGAUGGCUUGGAUUCGGGAGAGGAAUGCGGAAUUCCAGGUGUAGCGGUGAAAUGCGUAGAUAUCUGGAGGAACACCGGUGGCGAAGGCGGCAUUCUGGACCGACAUUGACGCUGAGGAGCGAAAGCCAGGGGAGCAAACGGG